Molecule: ribosomal RNA, 497 nt
Filed under: uncultured bacterium
Lineage: Bacteria
Description: partial 16S ribosomal RNA
Rfam family: Bacterial small subunit ribosomal RNA
Source: RNAcentral
GAUGAACGCUGGCGGCGUGCCUAAUACAUGCAAGUCGAGCGAACGGACGAGAAGCUUUCUUCUCUGAUGUUAGCGGCGGACGGGUGAGUAACACGUGGAUAACCUACCUAUAAGACUGGGAUAACUUCGGGAAACCGGAGCUAAUACCGGAUAAUAUUUUGAACCGCAUGGUUCAAAAGUUAAAGACGGUCUUGCUGUCACUUAUAGAUGGAUCCGCGCUGCAUUAGCUAGUUGGUAAGGUAACGGCUUACCAAGGCAACGAUGCAUAGCCGACCUGAGAGGGUGAUCGGCCACACUGGAACUGAGACACGGUCCAGACUCCUACGGGAGGCAGCAGUAGGGAAUCUUGCGCAAUGGGCGAAAGCCUGACGGAGCAACGCCGCGUGAGUGAUGAAGGUCUUCGGAUCGUAAAACUCUGUUAUUAGGGAAGAACAUAUGUGUAAGUAACUGUGCACAUCUUGACGGUACCUAAUCAGAAAGCCACGGCUAACUACGUG